UACGGGGGGGGUAAGCGUUGUUCGGAAUUACUGGGCGUAAAGAGCGCGCAGGCGGUCGUUCAAGUCGAGUGUGAAAGCCCCCGGCUCAACUGGGGAGGGUCAUUCGAUACUGAUCGACUCGAAGGCAGGAGAGGGAAGCGGAAUUCCCGGUGUAGUGGUGAAAUGCGUAGAUAUCUGGAGGAACACCGGUGGCGAAGGCGGGUCUCUGGGCCGAUACUGACGCUGAGGAGCGAAAGCGUGGGGAGCAAACAGG
Molecule: ribosomal RNA, 253 nt
Filed under: uncultured bacterium
Lineage: Bacteria
Description: partial 16S ribosomal RNA
Rfam family: Bacterial small subunit ribosomal RNA
Source: RNAcentral